CCUACGGGAGGCAGCAGUAAGGAAUAUUGGGCAAUGGACGCAAGUCUGACCCAGCCAUGCCGCGUGCAGGAUUGACGGCCCUAUGGGUUGUAAACUGCUUUUAUAUGCCAAGAAACCUCCGAACGUGUUCGGAGCUGACGGUAGCAUAAGAAUAAGCAUCGGCUAACUCCGUGCCAGCAGCCGCGGUAAU
This 190-nucleotide ribosomal RNA is filed under the name uncultured bacterium. Its description in RNAcentral is "partial 16S ribosomal RNA". It matches the Rfam family "Bacterial small subunit ribosomal RNA", at positions 338 to 524 of the family's 1533-position model. The record is from RNAcentral.